AACGAACGCUGGCGGCAGGCUUAACACAUGCAAGUCGAACGGGUGCAGCAAUGCAUCAGUGGCAGACGGGUGAGUAACACGUGGGAACCUUCCUAGGGGGUACGGAACAACUCAGGGAAACUUGAGCUAAUACCGUAUACGCCCCCGGACUUGAUCCGGGGGGAAAGAUUCAUCGCCCCUAGACGGGCCCGCGUCGGAUUAGGUAGUUGGUGGGGUAACGGCCUACCAAGCCUGCGAUCCGUAGCUGANCUGAGAGGAUGAUCAGCCACACUGGGACUGAGACACGGCCCAGACUCCUACGGGAGGCAGCAGUGGGGAAUCUUGGACAAUGGGCGCAAGCCUGAUCCAGCCAUGCCGCGUGAGUGAAGAAGGCCUUAGGUUGUAAAGCUCUUUUACCAGGACGAUAAUGACGGUACCUGGAGAAUAAGCCCCGGCAAACUUCGUGCCAGCAGCCGCCGC
This 459-nucleotide ribosomal RNA is filed under the name uncultured bacterium. RNAcentral's name for it is "bacterial SSU rRNA". It matches the Rfam family "Bacterial small subunit ribosomal RNA", at positions 29 to 521 of the family's 1533-position model. The record is from RNAcentral.